GAUCAUGGCUCAGGAUGAACGCUGGCGGCGUGCCUAAUACAUGCAAGUAGAACGCUGAAGCUUGGUGCUUGCACCGAGCGGAUGAGUUGCGAACGGGUGAGUAACGCGUAGGUAACCUGCCUCUUAGCGGGGGAUAACUAUUGGAAACGAUAGCUAAUACCGCAUAACAGUCGACAUUGCAUGAUGUUGAUUUGAAAGGUGCAAAUGCAUCACUAAGAGA
RNAcentral lists this ribosomal RNA (220 nucleotides) under uncultured bacterium. RNAcentral describes it as "partial 16S ribosomal RNA". It matches the Rfam family "Bacterial small subunit ribosomal RNA", at positions 15 to 225 of the family's 1533-position model. The record is from RNAcentral.